UACGGGGGGGCAAGCGUUGUUCGGAAUUACUGGGCGUAAAGGGCUUGUAGGUGGCCAACUAAGUCAGACGUGAAAUCCCUCGGCUUAACCGGGGAACUGCGUCUGAUACUGGAUGGCUUGAGUGUGGGAGAGGGAUGCGGAAUUCCAGGUGUAGCGGUGAAAUGACGUAGAUAUCUGGAGGAACACCGGUGGCGAAGGCGGCAUCCUGGACCAUUACUGACACUGAAAAGCGAAAGCCAGGGGAGCAAACGGG
This 253-nucleotide ribosomal RNA is filed under the name uncultured bacterium. RNAcentral's name for it is "partial 16S ribosomal RNA". It matches the Rfam family "Bacterial small subunit ribosomal RNA", at positions 524 to 776 of the family's 1533-position model. The record is from RNAcentral.